This 242-nucleotide long non-coding RNA is filed under the name Macaca nemestrina (pig-tailed macaque). RNAcentral's name for it is "lncRNA (ENSMNEG00000045880.1)". The record is from RNAcentral. Lineage: Eukaryota; Metazoa; Chordata; Mammalia; Primates; Cercopithecidae.
CACAAAAUGGAAUCCAGAGAGGAAUCUGGAGAGGAGUGAAAAAUGAUUAUACUUUUGAAUAAGGAUUGCAGAGUGAUAUUUAAGCUUGAAGGAGAGGAAGAGGACUUUUCUGGUAUGAGGAAGAGAGUCACGGUUCAGGUCGGAAAAUGGCAUGAGGAAAUAGAUUAUGAAAUGACUUCAGGUGAGAAUCUGUUCUAUUCAUCUAAUGCUUGGUCUUAAGCGUGGAUCAACAUAUUGAGAUA